UUACGACCAUAUCGCAUGGAAACAGCGGUUCACGUCCGAUCACCGAAGUUAAGCGGCGUUGGGUCUAGUUAGUACUCGGAUGGGUGUCCGCUGGGGAAUACCAGGUGCUGUAAA
Molecule: non-coding RNA, 114 nt
Organism: Acanthosepion pharaonis
Lineage: Eukaryota; Metazoa; Mollusca; Cephalopoda; Sepiida; Sepiidae
Source: the annotation of a GenBank genome assembly